GCCCCUGAUUUGUGCCCUCUCCCUAUAUAAUGUCAUGAUGUGGCUUGCUGGAGUCAGAAUCCUACCUCAUUCUGAGCUCUGACACUUUCCUAUCUGUGCUCCCUGCUAAUCAAUCCACCAGAAUGAAGGGCUUGGCGCUGCUGGUACUGGUGGCAGUUUCCACCUUCCUGGUCUCAGGCCAGACUACAACAGAUGUCCCAUCUGAUAGCUCUACUACUGUCCCAAAUCCACCACCGCGGGGCCCACUUCCAAAUCUGCUACUGCCUCCACUGAUGCCACCACCACCACAGUUCCCACCACCAUGACCAGUUCUGCUCAAGCCACCAGUGUUUGAAAGAGUGUCAUCAACAAGAUUAAGAAUAAACUAGAUUUGAAAAAUCUAGAUUUGAAUAUCACUAAGAUGAAGGAAGCCUGGGCCUUUUGCAAUUGAUCCUGCUGGACUUGACCACAAUGUCCCUUCAAUUGGUUUAACCCUGCUACUUAACAUGUCUAUCAUCUCUGUCUUAUCCUUAAUCAGUUUAUCUGUUUUCAAAUAAAAAAAUAACAUUGAUAGCAACAAAA
Long non-coding RNA from Neogale vison (American mink), 561 nucleotides. RefSeq lists it as uncharacterized. The transcript is spliced from 4 exons. The record is from RefSeq and is a predicted model, not a curated record. NCBI's taxonomy places the organism in Eukaryota, Metazoa, Chordata, Mammalia, Carnivora, Mustelidae.